CUUUGUUUUUCUGCACUGUCUGAGCUCCAUCAGAUAAUGGAACUGCUGAGCUCUCUGUUCUGCCACUCCACAUUGAUGGAUUUCAUGGCAGAGUAACACUUUGGAAAUGAAAGUUUCUCUUCUACUUCCUAAGUGAGGGAGACCCAGAAUCCAAGAAAGGAUCCUUGGCUCAGGAAAUCAUCUGCCAUCGGUGGCCAGGGGCAGCUGGAGCGUCAACAUCUAACCUGUGGGAAGAUGUACCCUCUGCAAUAGGCCCCUCUGCCCCAUCCCCAGAAGUCCCCAAAAGUUUCCAGGAGUGUCAACAGAUGGGGGAGGGAUCAGCCACUCUCACCCUCUGAACUGUGAGGGUUUCUCUUCCCAUUUCUCUAGGAAGCAGUGGCCAUGUUGUUGCCCAAAGCAGAUGUCAAAAGAGAAACUUAGAAGAGGCUUCUGAGACUAGCAACCCUCCCACUCAGGAUGGAACCAAAUUCAGGGAGCACGUCUCCCCACACAGCUGAAAUUAAUGCAGAGGUGAACGCCUUCUCCCUCGGAAGCAGAGCAAGAAUGAUUCUUGAUUACACUGAGCCUAUGGAACAGCCCCCACUGUUCAAGAGCCAAGAUUAGUGUGAAGCACCUCUCAAUCAUUUAAGAUUUGAUUGUUUAACAUGAGGCUGGGUGGGUUCGUCUCAGUGCUGAUGUCAACAAUCGACCCCAUCGUCCACAUGGCUCCCUGGGUUGCACCAUGAGCCAGCCACUGCUGCUUCUGGGUGCCAGGCUGUCCGGCAAAUCCUCUGACCCCCGUCUCUCCCUUCUAGAUUUUUCUGAGCUGCCACUUCCUCUCACCCUCCAGGCAGGCAGAGCCUGAAACCCCCUCUCUCAGAAAGGGUUGCAUCAAACUCAUUUGAUGCACACAAAUUCACCGAGGGAGAAUCCUUUGACAAGCAGGCUCUGGGGCCCUGGGGCUGGGGCUUGAGAGCCUGGGUCUCUAACACACCCAGCAG
This 980-nucleotide long non-coding RNA is filed under the name Homo sapiens (human). RNAcentral describes it as "non-protein coding lnc-SPP2-9:1". The record is from RNAcentral. Lineage: Eukaryota; Metazoa; Chordata; Mammalia; Primates; Hominidae.